UUUAAUAAGGUGUUGAUGCAUGUUAUAUUUUGGUUGUAAAGGAGGUCAGUUGCCUAUUAUUU
This 62-nucleotide transfer RNA is filed under the name Echeneibothrium williamsi. Its description in RNAcentral is "tRNA-Gln". Lineage: Eukaryota; Metazoa; Platyhelminthes; Cestoda; Rhinebothriidea; Echeneibothriidae. The record is from RNAcentral.